CUCGUAUAGAUUUGUACGAUGGUUCAAUAAGGAAAUACUAUUGUUCUGAUGAUGACGAAAUUGUAACGAUGUUUCCGAAAACUGAUGAUUCAGAAGACGUGAUCAUUUCGUGUGAUUAUAGGACAAGUCAUUUAAAUCCUUAUAAUAUUUUGCCUGAAGGACUUAAUUUGACUUUAACUGGAACCGGGUCUCAUAACGGUAACGAAACUAAUAUAUGGAAUGCUGUGAGUACGAAAAAACAAACUAAUUUCCACCUUACUGCUAUAACAAUAAAACAUGGAGUCUUCGAUGUGCCAAUCAG
Molecule: long non-coding RNA, 301 nt
Organism: Amyelois transitella
Lineage: Eukaryota; Metazoa; Arthropoda; Insecta; Lepidoptera; Pyralidae
Exons: 3
Source: RefSeq, a predicted model, not a curated record